This 424-nucleotide ribosomal RNA is filed under the name uncultured bacterium. Its description in RNAcentral is "bacterial SSU rRNA". It matches the Rfam family "Bacterial small subunit ribosomal RNA", at positions 355 to 776 of the family's 1533-position model. The record is from RNAcentral.
UGGGGAAUAUUGGUCAAUGGACGCAAGUCUGAACCAGCCAUGCCGCGUGCAGGAAGACGGCUCUAUGAGUUGUAAACUGCUUUUGUACGAGGGUAAACGCAGAUACGUGUAUCUGUCUGAAAGUAUCGUACGAAUAAGGAUCGGCUAACUCCGUGCCAGCAGCCGCGGUAAUACGGAGGAUUCAAGCGUUAUCCGGAUUUAUUGGGUUUAAAGGGUGCGUAGGCGGUUGGAUAAGUUAGAGGUGAAAUCCCGGGGCUCAACUCCGGAAUUGCCUCUGAUACUGUUCGGCUAGAGAUCAGUUGCGGUAGGCGGAAUGUAUGGUGUAGCGGUGAAAUGCUUAGAGAUCAUACAGAACACCGAUUGCGAAGGCAGCUUACCAAGCUGAAUCUGACGUUGAGGCACGAAAGCGUGGGUAGCAAACAGG